Molecule: ribosomal RNA, 270 nt
Filed under: uncultured bacterium
Lineage: Bacteria
Description: partial 16S ribosomal RNA
Rfam family: Bacterial small subunit ribosomal RNA
Source: RNAcentral
AAUCAACGCUGGCGGCGUGCCUAACACAUGCAAGUCGCACGAGAAAGGGUAGCAAUACCUGAGUAAAGUGGCGCACGGGUGAGUAACACGUGACUAACCUACCCUCGAGUGGGGAAUAACCUAGGGAAACCCUGGGCUAAUACCGCAUAAUACCCACGGGUCAAAGAAGCAAUUCGCUUGAGGAGGGGGUCGCGGCCGAUUAGUUAGUUGGCGGGGUAAUGGCCCACCAAGACUAUGAUCGGUAUCCGGCCUGAGAGGGCGCACGGACAC